GACAAGCGCUGGCGGCGUGCUUAACACAUGCAAGUCGAACGGAAAGGCCCUGCUUUUGUGGGGUGCUCGAGUGGCGAACGGGUGAGUAACACGUGAGUAACCUGCCCUUGACUUUGGGAUAACUUCAGGAAACUGGGGCUAAUACCGGAUAGGAGCUCCUGCUGCAUGGUGGGGGUUGGAAAGUUUCGGCGGUUGGGGAUGGACUCGCGGCUUAUCAGCUUGUUGGUGGGGUAGUGGCUUACCAAGGCUUUGACGGGUAGCCGGCCUGAGAGGGUGACCGGCCACAUUGGGACUGAGAUACGGCCCAGACUCCUACGGGAGGCAGCAGUGGGGAAUAUUGCACAAUGGGCGGAAGCCUGAUGCAGCAACGCCGCGUGCGGGAUGACGGCCUUCGGGUUGUAAACCGCUUUCGCCUGUGACGAAGCGUGAGUGACGGUAAUGGGUAAAGAAGCACCGGCUAACUACGUG
Molecule: ribosomal RNA, 468 nt
Filed under: uncultured bacterium
Lineage: Bacteria
Description: partial 16S ribosomal RNA
Rfam family: Bacterial small subunit ribosomal RNA
Source: RNAcentral